Molecule: transfer RNA, 69 nt
Filed under: Mus musculus (house mouse)
Lineage: Eukaryota; Metazoa; Chordata; Mammalia; Rodentia; Muridae
Description: tRNA-Gly
Source: RNAcentral
GGCCCAUGGCUCAGUGGUUAGAGUGUUUGCCUACCAUGUAUGAAGUCCUAGGUUUGAUUGCUAGCACCA